CAGAGUUCAUGCCCGAGAGGGUAGACCUCCCACCCUUGUGUAUCAUUACCAUGUUGCUUUGGCGCGCCGCCCCGGGCCUCGCGCGCGCGCCAGAGGAUAACCAAACUCUUUUUAUCAACGUCGUCCGAGCACUAUACAAUAGUUA
This 145-nucleotide ribosomal RNA is filed under the name Monilinia padi. Lineage: Eukaryota; Fungi; Ascomycota; Leotiomycetes; Helotiales; Sclerotiniaceae. The record is from RNAcentral.